Long non-coding RNA from Lutra lutra (Eurasian river otter), 2762 nucleotides. RefSeq lists it as uncharacterized. The transcript is spliced from 3 exons. The record is from RefSeq and is a predicted model, not a curated record. NCBI's taxonomy places the organism in Eukaryota, Metazoa, Chordata, Mammalia, Carnivora, Mustelidae.
GCCCCAGUUCAGCUCCUGUGCAGACAGCAUUCAGUAGAUGUUUGCUGGAUUACUCUCUGGAGGACCAGAAGCUUCUGGAACUGAAGGGACAGGAGGAGGGCACUGCACUGCAGUCAGCACUGAGUCCCUAGCGGAGUCUCUCACUGACGGGCUUGCUCAAACACAUCCCCAACCAUCCCCGUCAGGCUUUCUACCUGGCCACCUGGUCAGAGGAGCCAUGUAGGGUGUGGUCCAAGGUCAGCAGAAUGUGUUACAUUAUUUGUUUCAGUUAAUGGUAUCGUGAAGCCACUGGCCUACGAAAUCUGGGCUGUCAAGAGGAAUGGCUGCAGAGCCAAGACAGUGGAUCUCGUCUUUAAUGUACGGAAUGUCUCCCCGCUUCUGACCUCCACUUCCCUGCCCCCGCCCACGAUGCCGGGGAUCGGGAAGAACUCCAGAAUCUGUAUUUGUAGAAGAAACUAAGAUUAUGAUCCUGUAGUUGGUCCACACCUUUCACAAAACUCUCCAAGGUCAUACGAUAACAAAACGUGAUUCAUCUACUACAGCAGAAGAUUGUCUCCCAGAACAGUUGGCGCCUCAUAGCUUGUGGUAGCUCCACACAUAGUUAGAAAUAUCUCUGCUGCUGAAGCCUCCGGAGCCCUUAAUAAGCCAAUGCAUACUGGGACUUUCCAGGAACCUCUGUGGAGCAGAACUGAGCAGAGGUGCCUACACACUAGUUUGGGAAACUGGGGAAGCAGCGAUGUGCAGAUCUUAUUGUCACUUUGAUCUCAGCUUUCAAGACAUACAACUUCUUCUCUAAGAGAAACACAAAUGGCUGAUCAAAGUGUAUUUGCAGAGGCCAAGUUCAGUUUCUGAAAAGCCCAAGAAUGAAGAGUUGCGUGUCCAGCGGCACUCGCACGUGACACACUCAGCGCGAGGCCCAAGCCUCUGUGCGAGCUCCCGCAGUGCUGUUUGCUCUGCCAACCUGCGUUUCAGAAUGAAGCCAAAGCUCCAGUCCUCCAGUCCUGCUCUGAUGGCCUCACCGAGCCGCGACUCUGGAAGGAGGCAUGGUGAACGUCUGUCACUCUUGGCAACGCAACCUCAAACCCCCUUUCUGUCUGGGGGUGCUCCUCUUGUACUGUUCUGGUGGUGACAUGCUGAAACCCUAGUUUCUUCUCCUGAAGUCCCAGGGGAGACACCUUCCUGUUCCCCAUCUCCCAGCGACCGGAAUGCAGGCAGGAUCUCAGCAGUCAGAGUGGACGCUCCUAACUGGAGCUUUGUCUCUGGAGCCAGGAGCCGAAGCCAAGGGAACAGUGAAGAUUAAUUUCUGGCAGCAGGCCAGAGUGGCAGCACUGUCCCAACAUCCUGGCCAGGCUGUUCCAGAGGUCCACAGUCUGCGUUCCCUUGGUCUCUGCUCCGUUUUAAGCCCAUUCCUUCUGCCUCCUGUUGAUCCUGUGAGCACCAGAUUUCCUUCCAAUAAAUCUCACCAGAGGUGAUGUCAACACCAGAUUUCCUUCCAAUAAAUCCCACUGGAGUUAGGGCCUGCUGCUUGCAACCAGAACCCUGAGCAACACAGGGCGGCCCUCUGUGAAGAAAAGGGCUUGUUUUUAUAAGGUCAACGGGUUCUCACUUUCCUCGGCUCUCUCAGGACCUGCAAAAACCCAGGCUAAGAGGGCCUGAGGGCCCAGCCCUCGCCCUUGCUGCCUAGUUCCUGGCCUUUCACGAGGGGGCUCGGGCCCCCUCCAUGUGUCACUUCAUGGAAGACAAAGUCUGGUCAGGUGGAGGAAGACUGGGGAGCAAAAUGGGCUGUUUCACUCCAUCUUUCUCAAGUCCAAAGGACAUCCUGAUGAAGGGAAAGACGCAAAGCAAUAGCACGUGACUUUGACUAGAGCAGGCAAAGGACUCUAAGAUGCAAAAUGACUUUAUGUGCCACUUAGAAAAACAAUGACUGCUAAUUUAACUAAAACACAUCAUCAGUUUGAAUGUGAAAAAUCGUAAAUGCUGGAAUGGAUAAAAUAAUUUGUGGCUUAGAAAGGAAGAGAAAGUCGUUUCCAAAAGAUAAAAAGGAUGGCAAGGACACAGAAUCAGAUCUAAAUCGAGUCUGUGACUGUGCUGCUGUCGGUGAGCAGACCUGAAGAGAGGCAAAGGCACUUUUUUGUGUUUUGGUUUUUUUAGGUGUAUUGCUUUCAACUUAAGGACAGAUGCCCUAGCUACUUUUAUAUAAUUCUAUGUAUAAAUAUUUCUGAUGAUGACUAUUUUAAAAACAUAUUUUAAAUGUUUCAAUAGAAAAACAAAGGAAAAUAGGAACAAAGAAAAACAGAAAAAUUAAGAUUGAUUCUCAACUAAAAAAUAAUUCCCUCUAAUGACGGUAUUCUUUGCAGUUCCGCCCUUGCUCUCAUCUUUUCUCAUAUCCAAUGCUGCUCUGGAUACUACAUCUAGCCACAUCUUCCAUCAUCACCCACAAAUUGGUAUGUCCAGCCAACAUAUCCCUUCCAGUCUCCAGAGUCUAUACUGUGCGUUCCAACAUGAGCAACGCACAGGUACCUCACACCUGACAUGUUCCAAGCAGACCUCCUACCUUCUGUGCAGACCUGCUUCUUUGAUUAGAUUCUUUACCCUGCUAAAUGGUACCACCAUUUCACAUGGGUUCCCAGCUGGACACCAGAAUACAAACCACCUUCAAUUUCUCUUUGGCAUCAGGGCCUGUAAGAAGGAGACCCUAAGUCCUUUCAAUUUUGCACUACCAGUCUUAUUUUAUAUUUCUGGUAGUUUCAUUGUGUUAUUUA